GACGAACGCUGGCGGCGUGCUUAACACAUGCAAGUCGAACGGAAAGGCCCUGCUUUUGUGGGGUGCUCGAGUGGCGAAAGGGUGAGUAACACGUGAGUAACCUGCCCUUGACUUUGGGAUAACUUCAGGAAACUGGGGCUAAUACCGGAUAGGAGCUCCUGCUGCAUGGUGGGGGUUGGAAAGUUUCGGCGGUUGGGGAUGGGCUCGCGGGUUAUCAGCUUGUUGGUGGGGUAGUGGCUUACCAAGGGUUUGGCGGGUAGGCGGGCUGUGAGGGUGACCGGGCUCCGUGGGAGACGAGUACGGGCCGAAGCACCUAGGGGGGGGAGAAGGGGGGAAGAUGGCAGAAGGGGCGGAGCCGUGAGCAGGAAGCCCGGCUUGGGGGAUGUGGGCUGCUGGGGUAGAAGCAGUUUUCGCAUGAGGCGAAGGUUGAUGACGGGAAAUGGGGAAAAAGCAACGGGUAAAUUAGGG
RNAcentral lists this ribosomal RNA (468 nucleotides) under uncultured bacterium. RNAcentral's name for it is "partial 16S ribosomal RNA". It matches the Rfam family "Bacterial small subunit ribosomal RNA", at positions 28 to 507 of the family's 1533-position model. The record is from RNAcentral.